GCAUUAGUGGUGCAACGGUUAACAUGUGUUCUUUCUCUCGAAAUCUCCGAACACUGGCGGUCGCGUUCAGGGUUCGAUUCCCCGUUGAUGCA
Molecule: non-coding RNA, 92 nt
Organism: Armillaria luteobubalina
Lineage: Eukaryota; Fungi; Basidiomycota; Agaricomycetes; Agaricales; Physalacriaceae
Source: the annotation of a GenBank genome assembly